Molecule: ribosomal RNA, 206 nt
Filed under: uncultured bacterium
Lineage: Bacteria
Description: partial 16S ribosomal RNA
Rfam family: Bacterial small subunit ribosomal RNA
Source: RNAcentral
UACGUAGGGUGCAAGCGUUGUCCGGAAUUAUUGGGCGUAAAGAGCUCGUAGGCGGUCUGUUACGUCCGCUGUGAAAACCCAGGGCUUAACCCUGGGCUUGCAGUGGAUACGGGUAGACUAGAGGCAGGUAGGGGAGAAUGGAAUUCCCGGUGUAGCGGUGAAAUGCGCAGAUAUCGGGGAGGAACACCGGUGGCGAAGGCGGUCUA